UACGUAGGGCGCAAGCGUUGUCCGGAAUUAUUGGGCGUAAAGAGCUCGUAGGCGGUUUGUCGCGUCUGUCGUGAAAGCUUGGGGCUUAACCCUAAGUCUGCGGUGGAUACGGGCAGACUAGAGGCAGGUAGGGGAGAACGGAAUUCCCGGUGUAGCGGUGAAAUGCGCAGAUAUCGGGAGGAACACCGGUGGCGAAGGCGGGUCUCUGGGCCGAUAUUGACGCUGAGGAGCGAAAGCGUGGGGAGCGAACAGG
RNAcentral lists this ribosomal RNA (253 nucleotides) under uncultured bacterium. Its description in RNAcentral is "partial 16S ribosomal RNA". It matches the Rfam family "Bacterial small subunit ribosomal RNA", at positions 524 to 776 of the family's 1533-position model. The record is from RNAcentral.